This 439-nucleotide ribosomal RNA is filed under the name uncultured bacterium. RNAcentral describes it as "partial 16S ribosomal RNA". It matches the Rfam family "Bacterial small subunit ribosomal RNA", at positions 339 to 795 of the family's 1533-position model. The record is from RNAcentral.
CUACGGGCCGCAGCAGUGAGGAAUAUUGCACAAUGGGGGGAACCCUGAUGCAGCAACGCCGCGUGGAGGAUGACGCAUUUCGGUGUGUAAACUCCUUUUAUAUGUCAAGAAAAUGACGGUAGCAUAUGAAUAAGCACCGGCUAACUCCGUGCCAGCAGCCGCGGUAAUACGGAGGGUGCAAGCGUUACUCGGAAUCACUGGGCGUAAAGGACGCGUAGGCGGGUUGGAAAGUCAGGUGUGAAAUCCUACAGCUUAACUGUAGAACUGCACUUGAAACUUCUAAUCUAGAGUAUGGGAGGGAGAGAUGGAAUUAGGGGUGUAGGGGUAAAAUACGUAGAUAUCACUAGGAAUACCUAAAGCGAAGGCGAUCUCCUGGAACAUUACUGACGCUAAGGCGUGAAAGCGUGGGGAGCAAACAGGAUUAGAUACCCGUGUAGUC